RNAcentral lists this long non-coding RNA (451 nucleotides) under Mytilus galloprovincialis (Mediterranean mussel). Lineage: Eukaryota; Metazoa; Mollusca; Bivalvia; Mytilida; Mytilidae. The record is from RNAcentral.
CAGAAAUUUUCCCGCGCAAACGUAAUAUUCAGUUGGUUUUUUUUUCGAUGAUGGUGAUCAAUUUUUUUUUUUCAACAUUUAACACUAUAUUGUAUGGAGAAACUCUUUAUUCAGAUUUUUUUUUAAUCAUCUGUAGGACCAGAUUUUUUUUUAUCCAAUUGGGGUUCGAAAUACCGCCCCCCCCCAACCCCCCAACCCCCGCCCUCCUCCCCCGAUUUGAAGUCAAAUGAUCGUUCCCUUACUACUAGAAAAUAUGUCCGAAAACUUUGCAUUCGGUUCUACGUAAUGAACAUUUAAAUGACAUAGAGUUUAUAAGUGUGAACAAAUCUUAUGUACAGGUAACUAAACAAGGUGUAUAGAUGUGAACAAAUUCAAUGUGAAACCAAUGGCCAGUACAUUAAACUUAUUGUAAACAUGUUUACUGUACAUGGAGUUUGGUGUGAACACGGCC